Molecule: long non-coding RNA, 422 nt
Organism: Sceloporus undulatus (fence lizard)
Lineage: Eukaryota; Metazoa; Chordata; Lepidosauria; Squamata; Phrynosomatidae
Exons: 4
Source: RefSeq, a predicted model, not a curated record
CUUUCUCUCUUUGAGGGAGGGGUUCCCUUGGGAGGAGGCACUUCUGGUGGUCCAAGGAAGAAGAGAGGCGGAAGAGGGAACCCCCAAAGAGAGGAAGAGAAGCUGCACAUUCAGAUGUCAGAGAAUGGCAAAGAAGACCCUUUGGAAGGAGCUCCAGGGGAAGAUGGAGCUGUAGGAAGAAUAUCCUAAACCAGAUCUCAUCUCCCGUCUGGAAGGAGAAGACCUUUUUGACUAGGUCUCCAUGGAAGGAGAAGGACCUGCAGGUAAUGAGCAGCAGAAUAAGAACUAUGAGGAGCCACUUGUGACAUCAAUGGAAAUUACAGAGCCUUUCAUGGGAAAAGAGGAGUUUGGAAAUGAAAAAGAACUGAAAAGCAAAAGGGGAAACCAAAGGACAAACAAGAAGAACAACUCCUCUGCCUCUC